AUACUUACCUGGCGGGAGCAAUACCAUGAUCACGAAGGUAGUUUUCCCAGGGCGAGGCUUAUCCAUUGCACUCCGGAUGUGCUGACCCCUGGGAUUUUCCCAACUCUGGGAAACUACUGCAUAAUUUGUGGUAGCAGGGGACUGCAUUCGUGCUUUCCCCUG
This is a small nuclear RNA of Otolemur garnettii (small-eared galago), 162 nucleotides long. Its record names the gene U1. It matches the Rfam family "U1 spliceosomal RNA". Rfam says of the family: U1 is a small nuclear RNA (snRNA) component of the spliceosome (involved in pre-mRNA splicing). Lineage: Eukaryota; Metazoa; Chordata; Mammalia; Primates; Galagidae. The record is from Ensembl.